This 345-nucleotide unclassified non-coding RNA is filed under the name soil metagenome. Its description in RNAcentral is "partial contains 5.8S ribosomal RNA, internal transcribed spacer 2, and large subunit ribosomal RNA". The stretch from base 1 to 120 matches the Rfam family "5.8S ribosomal RNA", at positions 35 to 154 of the family's 154-position model. The record is from RNAcentral.
GAUGAAGAACGUAGUGAAAUGCGAUACGUAAUGUGAAUUGCAGAAUUCAGUGAAUCAUCGAGUCUUUGAACGCACAUUGCGCCCCCUGGUAUUCCGGGGGGCAUGCCUGUCCGAGCGUCAUUGCUGCCCUCAAGCACGGCUUGUGUGUUGGGCCUCCGUCCUCCUCCCGGGGGACGGGCCCGAAAGGCAGCGGCGGCACCGCGUCCGGUCCUCGAGCGUAUGGGGCUUCGUCACCCGCUCUUGUAGGCCCGGCCGGCGCUUGCCGACACAUCAAUCUUUUUUCCAGGUUGACCUCGGAUCGGGUAGGGAUACCCGCUGAACUUAAGCAUAUCAAUAAGCGGAGGA